RNAcentral lists this ribosomal RNA (405 nucleotides) under uncultured bacterium. RNAcentral describes it as "partial 16S ribosomal RNA". It matches the Rfam family "Bacterial small subunit ribosomal RNA", at positions 28 to 526 of the family's 1533-position model. The record is from RNAcentral.
GAUGAACGCUGGCGGCGUGCCUAAUACAUGCAAGUCGAGCGAAGCGGGUACGGGUGAGUAACACGUGGAUAAACUCCUAUAAGACUGGAAUAACUUCGGUAAAACGUAGAUCAACCGGAUACUUAUAGCUGACUCCGCGCUGCAUUAGCUAGUUGGUAAGGUAAAUGCUUACCAAGUCACCGAUUCAUAGCCGAGCUGAUAGGGUGAUCGGCCAUACUGUAACUGAGAAACGGUCCAGACUCCUACGGGAGGCAGCCGUACGGAAGCUUGCGCAAUGGGCGCAAGCCUGACGGAGCAACGCCGCGUGAAUGGUGAAGGUCUUCGGAUCGUAAAACUGUGUAAUGUGGGAAGCGGUACCUGAACAGGAAGCCACGGCUAACUACGUGCCAGCAGAGGCGGUAAUAC